CGCUGUAAUGGCGUAAUCUAUGGUGGUGUAUUGCAGGGAGAAUUCCUCAGAGGGUAUGAGGGAAUUAAGACUGGGGUUGGCCGGUGAGUGUGGUGCAGACAAGUCAAUGAUGAGUCUCUGUUUAAGGGAAUAUUUUCCUGUGACAAUACCAAUGUGGUUAGUGCGCCAUUCUUUGAAUGGAGUAGCUUUGAAAGGCCCCAAUACGAAACCCUCAGCAACUUCUUGGGCUAUGACAGUGUCAACAGCUGUGGGAUUGUGUUGUGCGGAUUGUAGAUUAGGGCAUUCCAGAGUCCCGAAUGGUAUGUGUAGAAUACCCGUGUGGAAGCCUUCUGUUAAACCAGAGAUAAGAAAGUCCACCAAGUGUUUAGACGGUUGAUGUGACAUAAAUGCAGUAAAUACCUGCAUUUUAAUGGACGUUAGGUAAGGCUUAAAGUACAUUUUAUUUGGACACAUGGUUUUUGCAUGUGCCCUAAAACAUUU
Molecule: non-coding RNA, 480 nt
Organism: Pelobates cultripes (western spadefoot toad)
Lineage: Eukaryota; Metazoa; Chordata; Amphibia; Anura; Pelobatidae
Source: the annotation of a GenBank genome assembly